UGACGGUACCUGACUAAGAAGCACCGGCUAAAUACGUGCCAGCAGCCGCGGUAAUACGUAUGGUGCAAGCGUUAUCCGGAUUUACUGGGUGUAAAGGGAGCGCAGGCGGCCAUGCAAGCCAGAGGUGAAAACCCGGGGCUCAACCCCGUGAUUGCCUUUGGAACUGUUUGGCUUGAGUACUGGAGGGGCAGGCGGAAUUCCUGGUGUAGCGGUGAAAUGCGUAGAUAUUAGGAGGAACACCAGUGGCGAAGGCGGCCUGCUGGACUGUUACUGACGCUGAGGCGCGAAAGCGUGGGGAGCAAACAGGAUUAGAUACCCUG
Molecule: ribosomal RNA, 320 nt
Filed under: uncultured bacterium
Lineage: Bacteria
Description: bacterial SSU rRNA
Rfam family: Bacterial small subunit ribosomal RNA
Source: RNAcentral